GCGUCCGUAGCUCAGUUGGAUAGAGUAACGGACUUCGAAUCCGUAGGCCGCCCGUUCGAGCCGGGCCGGACGCA
This 74-nucleotide transfer RNA is filed under the name Treponema sp. RNAcentral describes it as "tRNA-Arg". It matches the Rfam family "tRNA". From Rfam's summary of the family: Transfer RNA (tRNA) molecules are approximately 80 nucleotides in length. Their secondary structure includes four short double-helical elements and three loops (D, anti-codon, and T loops). Further hydrogen bonds mediate the characteristic L-shaped molecular structure. tRNAs have two regions of fundamental functional importance: the anti-codon, which is responsible for specific mRNA codon recognition, and the 3' end, to which the tRNAs corresponding amino acid is attached (by aminoacyl-tRNA synthetases). tRNAs cope with the degeneracy of the genetic code in two manners: having more than one tRNA (with a specific anti-codon) for a particular amino acid; and 'wobble' base-pairing, i.e. permitting non-standard base-pairing at the 3rd anti-codon position. The record is from RNAcentral. Lineage: Bacteria; Pseudomonadati; Spirochaetota; Spirochaetia; Treponematales; Treponemataceae.